GGUCAGAUGGCCGAGUUGGUUAUGGCGUGAGGUUAAGGCUUUACCUUGACACCCCGCUUCCUCAUGGGAUUUUCCCGCGUGGGUUCGAAUCCCACUCUGAUCA
Molecule: transfer RNA, 103 nt
Filed under: Phaeomoniella chlamydospora
Lineage: Eukaryota; Fungi; Ascomycota; Eurotiomycetes; Phaeomoniellales; Phaeomoniellaceae
Rfam family: tRNA
About the family: Transfer RNA (tRNA) molecules are approximately 80 nucleotides in length. Their secondary structure includes four short double-helical elements and three loops (D, anti-codon, and T loops).
Source: Rfam by way of RNAcentral